This 2049-nucleotide long non-coding RNA is filed under the name Salmo salar (Atlantic salmon). RNAcentral's name for it is "lncRNA (ENSSSAG00000117632.1)". Lineage: Eukaryota; Metazoa; Chordata; Actinopteri; Salmoniformes; Salmonidae. The record is from RNAcentral.
GUAUUACUGUACUGUUGGAGCUAUAAACACAAGCAUUAGGUAUUACUGUACUGUUGGAGCUAGAAACACAAGCAUUAUAUAUUACUGUACUGUUGGAGCUAGAAACACAAGCAUUAUGUAUUACUGUACUGUUGGAGCUAGAAACACAAGCAUUAUAUAUUACUGUACUGUUGGAGCUAGAAACACAAGCAUUAUGUAUUACUGUACUGUUGGAGCUAUAAACACAAGCAUUAUAUAUUACUGUACUGUUGGAGCUAGAAACACAAGCAUUAUAUAUUACUGUACUGUUGGAGCUAUAAACACAAGCAUUAGGUAUUACUGUACUGUUGGAGCUAUAAACACAAGCAUUAUAUAUUACUGUACUGUUGGAGCUAGAAACACAAGCAUUAUGUAUUACUGUACUGUUGGAGCUAGAAACACAAGCAUUAUAUAUUACUGUACUGUUGGAGCUAUAAACACAAGCAUUAUGUAUUACUGUACUGUUGGAGCCAUAAACACAAGCAUUAUAUAUUACUGUACUGUUGGAGCUAGAAACACAAGCAUUAGGUAUAACUGUACUGUUGGAGCUAUAAACACAAGCAUUAGGUAUUACUGUACUGUUGGAGCUAUAAACACAAACAUUGUGUAUUACUGUACUGUUGGAGCUAUAAACACAAGCAUUAGGUAUUACUGUACUGUUGGAGCUAGAAACACAAGCAUUAUAUAUUACUGUACUGUUGGAGCUAGAAACACAAGCAUUAUGUAUUACUGUACUGUUGGAGCUAGAAACACAAGCAUUAGGUAUUACUGUACUGUUGGAGCUAGAAACACAAGCAUUAUAUAUUACUGUACUGUUGGAGCUAGAAACACAAGCAUUAUAUAUUACUGUACUGUUGGAGCUAGAAACACAAGCAUUAUAUAUUACUGUACUUUUGGAAGCUAUAAACACAAGCAUCAUAUCUUACUGUACUUUUGGAGCUCGAAACACAUGCAUUAUAUAUUACUGUACUGUUGGAGCUAUAAACACAAGCAUUAUAUAUUACUGUACUGUUGGAGCUAGAAACACAAGCAUUAUACAUUACUGUACUGUUGGAGCUAGAAACACAAGCAUUAUAUAUUACUGUACUGUUGGAGCUAUAAACACAAGCAUUAGGUAUUACUGUACUGUUGGAGCUAUAAACACAAGCAUUAUAUAUUACUGUACUGUUGGAGCUAGAAACACAAGCAUUAUGUAUUACUGUACUGUUGGAGCUAGAAACACAAGCAUUAUAUAUUACUGUACUGUUGGAGAUAUAAACACAAGCAUUAUAUAUUACUGUGCUGUUGGAGCUAUAAACACAAGCAUUAGAUAUUACUGUACUGUUGGAGCUAGAAACACAAGCAUUAUAUAUUACUGUACUGUUGGAGCUAUAAACACAAGCAUUAGGUAUUACUGUACUGUUGGAGCUAUAAACACAAGCAUUAUAUAUUACUGUACUGUUGGAGCUAUAAACACAAGCAUUAUAUAUUACUGUACUGUUGGAGCUAUAAACACAAGCAUUAGAUAUUACUGUACUGUUGGAGCUAUAAACACAAGCAUUAAGUAUUACUGUACUGUUGGAGCUAUAAACACAAGCAUUAUAUAUUACUGUACUGUUGGAGCUAUAAACACAAGCAUUAAGUAUUACUGUACUGUUGGAGCUAUAAACACAAGCAUUAUAUAUUACUGUACUGUUGGAGCUAUAAACACAAGCAUUAUAUAUUACUGUACUGUUGGAGCUAUAAACACAAGCAUUAUAUAUUACUGUACUGUUGGAGCUAGGACCAGCUUGCUUAGGGGAUAUUUUAGCAGUUCUGCAUUUUAUGAGUUCUGCAUGCAGUCUCUCUCUGUGUCUCACUCUCUCUCUCUCUCUCUCAAACUCACACUGUUCCUCCCUCUCUUUCCAUCUCUCUCUCCCUCGCUCUCUCCAUCUCUCCCCCGCCCCACCACGUUAAGCUCAGGAAGGGUGAUUGGUCUAAAUUGGAUCUAAUGUUUCUGUACCUGGCAGCAGAGAUGCCAGAGCCUGCUGCCCCAUUGUCAUCCAAUUACAC